Molecule: ribosomal RNA, 2910 nt
Filed under: Klebsiella pneumoniae
Lineage: Bacteria; Pseudomonadati; Pseudomonadota; Gammaproteobacteria; Enterobacterales; Enterobacteriaceae
Description: 23S ribosomal RNA
Rfam family: Bacterial large subunit ribosomal RNA
Source: RNAcentral
GGGUUGUGAGGUUAAGCGACUAAGCGUACACGGUGGAUGCCCUGGCAGUCAGAGGCGAUGAAGGACGUGCUAAUCUGCGAAAAGCGUCGGUAAGGUGAUAUGAACCGUUAUAACCGGCGAUGUCCGAAUGGGGAAACCCAGUGCAAUUGUUGCACUAUCGUUAACUGAAUACAUAGGUUAACGAGGCGAACCGGGGAACUGAAACAUCUAAGUACCCCGAGGAAAAGAAAUCAACCGAGAUUCCCCAGUAGCGGCGAGCGAACGGGGAGCAGCCCAGAGUCUGAAUCAGCUUGUGUGUUAGUGGAACGGUCUGGAAAGUCCGACGGUACAGGGUGAUAGUCCCGUACACCAAAAUGCACAGGCUGUGAACUCGAAGAGUAGGGCGGGACACGUGGUAUCCUGUCUGAAUAUGGGGGGACCAUCCUCCAAGGCUAAAUACUCCUGACUGACCGAUAGUGAACCAGUACCGUGAGGGAAAGGCGAAAAGAACCCCGGCGAGGGGAGUGAAAAAGAACCUGAAACCGUGUACGUACAAGCAGUGGGAGCACCUUCGGGUGUGACUGCGUACCUUUUGUAUAAUGGGUCAGCGACUUAUAUUCUGUAGCAAGGUUAACCGUAUAGGGGAGCCGCAGGGAAACCGAGUCUUAACUGGGCGUUAAGUUGCAGGGUAUAGACCCGAAACCCGGUGAUCUAGCCAUGGGCAGGUUGAAGGUUGGGUAACACUAACUGGAGGACCGAACCGACUAAUGUUGAAAAAUUAGCGGAUGACUUGUGGCUGGGGGUGAAAGGCCAAUCAAACCGGGAGAUAGCUGGUUCUCCCCGAAAGCUAUUUAGGUAGCGCCUCGUGAACUCAUCUUCGGGGGUAGAGCACUGUUUCGGCUAGGGGUCAUCCCGACUUACCAACCCGAUGCAAACUACGAAUACCGAAGAAUGUUAUCACGGGAGACACACGGCGGGUGCUAACGUCCGUCGUGAAGAGGGAAACAACCCAGACCGCCAGCUAAGGUCCCAAAGUCAUGGUUAAGUGGGAAACGAUGUGGGAAGGCACAGACAGCCGUGAUGUUGGCUUAGAAGCAGCCAUCAUUUAAAGAAAGCGUAAUAGCUCACUGGUCGAGUCGGCCUGCGCGGAAGAUGUAACGGGGCUAAACCAUGCACCGAAGCUGCGGCAGCGACACUAUGUGUUGUUGGGUAGGGGAGCGUUCUGUAAGCCUGCGAAGGUGUGCUGUGAGGCAUGCUGGAGGUAUCAGAAGUGCGAAUGCUGACAUAAGUAACGAUAAAGCGGGUGAAAAGCCCGCUCGCCGGAAGACCAAGGGUUCCUGUCCAACGUUAAUCGGGGCAGGGUGAGUCGACCCUAAGGCGAGGCCGAAAGGCGUAGUCGAUGGGAAACAGGUUAAUAUUCCUGUACUUGGUGUUACUGCGAAGGGGACGGAGAAGGCUAUGUUAGCCGGGCGACGGUUGUCCCGGUUUAAGCAUGUAGGCUGAUUGUCCAGGCAAAUCCGGAUAAUCAAGGCUGAGGUGUGAUGACGAGGCACUACGGUGCUGAAGUAACAAAUGCCCUGCUUCCAGGAAAAGCCUCUAAGCAUCAGGUAACAUUAAAUCGUACCCCAAACCGACACAGGUGGUCAGGUAGAGAAUACCAAGGCGCUUGAGAGAACUCGGGUGAAGGAACUAGGCAAAAUGGUGCCGUAACUUCGGGAGAAGGCACGCUGGUGUGUAGGUGAAGUCCCUGCGGAUGGAGCUGAGACCAGUCGAAGAUACCAGCUGGCUGCAACUGUUUAUUAAAAACACAGCACUGUGCAAACACGAAAGUGGACGUAUACGGUGUGACGCCUGCCCGGUGCCGGAAGGUUAAUUGAUGGGGUUAUCCGUAAGGAGAAGCUCUUGAUCGAAGCCCGGUAAACGGCGGCCGUAACUAUAACGGUCCUAAGGUAGCGAAAUUCCUUGUCGGGUAAGUUCCGACCUGCACGAAUGGCGUAAUGAUGGCUGCUGUCUCCACCCGAGACUCAGUGAAAUUGAACUCGCUGUGAAGAUGCAGUGUACCCGCGGCAAGACGGAAAGACCCCGUGAACCUUUACUAUAGCUUGACACUGAACAUUGAGCCUUGAUGUGUAGGAUAGGUGGGAGGCUUUGAAGCGUGGACGCCAGUCUGCGUGGAGCCAACCUUGAAAUACCACCCUUUAAUGUUUGAUGUUCUAACGUUGGCCCCUUACCGGGGUUGCGGACAGUGUCUGGUGGGUAGUUUGACUGGGGCGGUCUCCUCCCAAAGCGUAACGGAGGAGCACGAAGGUUAGCUAAUCCGGUCGGACAUCAGGAGGUUAGUGCAAUGGCAUAAGCUAGCUUGACUGCGAGCGUGACGGCGCGAGCAGGUGCGAAAGCAGGUCAUAGUGAUCCGGUGGUUCUGAAUGGAAGGGCCAUCGCUCAACGGAUAAAAGGUACUCCGGGGAUAACAGGCUGAUACCGCCCAAGAGUUCAUAUCGACGGCGGUGUUUGGCACCUCGAUGUCGGCUCAUCACAUCCCGGGCUGAAGUAGGUCCCAAGGGUAUGGCUGUUCGCCAUUUAAAGUGGUACGCGAGCUGGGUUUAGAACGUCGUGAGACAGUUCGGUCCCUAUCUGCCGUGGGCGCUGGAGAAUUGAGGGGGGCUGCUCCUAGUACGAGAGGACCGGAGUGGACGCAUCACUGGUGUUCGGGUUGUCAUGCCAAUGGCACUGCCCGGUAGCUAAAUGCGGAAGAGAUAAGUGCUGAAAGCAUCUAAGCACGAAACUUGCCCCGAGAUGAGUUCUCCUGAGACUUUAAGUCUCCUGAAGGAACGUUGAAGACGACGACGUUGAUAGGCCGGGUGUGUAAGCGCAGCGAUGCGUUGAGCUAACCGGUACUAAUGAACCGUGAGGCUUAACCUUACAACGCCGAAG